Molecule: ribosomal RNA, 394 nt
Filed under: Indotestudo elongata (Elongated tortoise)
Lineage: Eukaryota; Metazoa; Chordata; Testudines; Testudinidae
Description: partial 12S ribosomal RNA
Rfam family: Bacterial small subunit ribosomal RNA
Source: RNAcentral
GCUCAGCUAUAAACCCAGAUAUUUAAUACACAAAAAUAUCCGCCAGAGAACUACGAGCAAAAUGCUUAAAACUCUAAGGACUUGACGGUACCUUAAACCCUCCUAGAGGAGCCUGUUCUAUAAUCGAUAAUCCACGAUCUACCUCACCAUCUCUUGCCAGUACCGCCUAUAUACCGCCGUCACCAGCCUACCCUAUGAAGGACAUAAAAGUAAGCAAAACAACAAAACAGCUAACAAGUCAGGUCAAGGUGUAGCUUACUGAGAUGGAAGAAAUGGGCUACAUUUUCUAAACUAGAAAUAUUUUACGGAAAGAACUAUGAAACAAGUCUUAAAAGUAGGAUUUAGCAGUAAAUAAGGAUCAGAAUGCCCUAUUUAAGCCGGCCCUAAGGCACGC